RNAcentral lists this ribosomal RNA (496 nucleotides) under uncultured bacterium. RNAcentral's name for it is "partial 16S ribosomal RNA". It matches the Rfam family "Bacterial small subunit ribosomal RNA", at positions 29 to 507 of the family's 1533-position model. The record is from RNAcentral.
AUGAACGCUGGCGGCGUGCCUAAUCCAUGCAAGUCGAGCGAACGGACGAGAAGCUUGCUUUUCUGAUGUUAGCGGCGGACGGGUGAGUAACACGUGGAUAACCUACCUAUAAGACUGGGAUAACUUCGGGAAACCGGAGCUAAUACCGGAUAAUAUUUUGAACCGCAUGGUUCAAAAGUGAAAGACGGUCUUGCUGUCACUUAUAGAUGAAUCCGCGCUGCAUUAGCUAGUUGGUAAGGUAACGGCUUACCAAGGCAACGAUGCAUAGCCGACCUGAGAGGGUGAUCGGCCACACUGGAACUGAGACACGGUCCAGACUCCUACGGGAGGCAGCAGUAGGGAAUCUUCCGCAAUGGGCGAAAGCCUGACGGAGCAACGCCGCGUGAGUGAUGAAGGUCUUCGGAUCGUAAAACUCUGUUAUUAGGGAAGAACAUAUGUGUAAGUAACUGUGCACAUCUUGACGGUACCUAAUCAGAAAGCCACGGCUAACUACGUG